AUGUUCUCUGUAGCUCUGCUGCUGCUGGCUGCUGGAUCCUGUGUGAACAGUCUUGAUCUCAUCCAGACAGACUCAAUGGUUGUGCAGCCUGGACAGUCUUUGUCCAUCACCUGUCGGAUCUCUGGUUAUUCUUUGACUGAUGACAGCUAUGCAACAGGUUGGAUCAGACAGUGUGAAAGAAAACCAAUGGACUGGAUUUCCCAUCAGUGGGGAACAAGCGGCCUUCGUCAAAAUAAUGCUCUGAAGAACAAGUUCAGCUUCAGCAGAGACACCUCUGCUCAAACAGUGACUCUAAAAGGACAGAAUCUGCAGCCUGAGGACACAGCUGUGUAUUACUGUGUACGUCAGCACCACAGUGAUACACACCACCAUCAGACCUGCACAAAUACUCAGCCCCCAUGUGACUCAACCACACACACAUGUUGUUAA
Molecule: non-coding RNA, 429 nt
Organism: Cottoperca gobio
Lineage: Eukaryota; Metazoa; Chordata; Actinopteri; Perciformes; Bovichtidae
Source: the annotation of a RefSeq genome assembly